Molecule: ribosomal RNA, 963 nt
Filed under: Rothia mucilaginosa
Lineage: Bacteria; Bacillati; Actinomycetota; Actinomycetes; Micrococcales; Micrococcaceae
Description: bacterial SSU rRNA
Rfam family: Bacterial small subunit ribosomal RNA (bases 1-861)
Source: RNAcentral
GAUGAACGCUGGCGGCGUGCCUAAUACAUGCAAGUAGAACGCUGAAGGAAGGAGCUUGCUCUUUCCGGAUGAGUUGCGAACGGGUGAGUAACGCGUAAGUAACCUGCCUGGUAGCGGGGGAUAACUAUUGGAAACGAUAGCUAAUACCGCAUAACAGUAGAUGUUGCAUGACAUCUGCUUGAAAGGGGCAAUUGCUCCACUACCAGAUGGACCUGCGUUGUAUUAGCUAGUUGGUGAGGUAACGGCUCACCAAGGCGACGAUACAUAGCCGACCUGAGAGGGUGAUCGGCCACACUGGGACUGAGACACGGCCCAGACUCCUACGGGAGGCAGCAGUAGGGAAUCUUCGGCAAUGGACGGAAGUCUGACCGAGCAACGCCGCGUGAGUGAAGAAGGUUUUCGGAUCGUAAAGCUCUGUUGUAAGAGAAGAACGAGUGUGAGAGUGGAAAGUUCACACUGUGACGGUAUCUUACCAGAAAGGGACGGCUAACUACGUGCCAGCAGCCGCGGUAAUACGUAGGUCCCGAGCGUUAUCCGGAUUUAUUGGGCGUAAAGCGAGCGCAGGCGGUUAGAUAAGUCUGAAGUUAAAGGCUGUGGCUUAACCAUAGUACGCUUUGGAAACUGUUUAACUUGAGUGCAAGAGGGGAGAGUGGAAUUCCAUGUGUAGCGGUGAAAUGCGUAGAUAUAUGGAGGAACACCGGUGGCGAAAGCGGCUCUCUGGCUUGUACUGACGCUGAGGCUCGAAAGCGUGGGGGAGCAAACAGGAUUGAUACCCUGGGUGUCCAAGGGCGAAUUCCACAGUGUAUAUCAAGCUUUCGAUUCCGUCUGCCUCGGGGGAUGUGCCUGUGACUAAGCUUUUGUUGCUUAUUGGUUUUUAUUAUGUGAAUUGGCUUGUGCUGUUGUGAUGUGUAUGAUGUAUAGUGAUGUUUGUGUGUGUGUGUUGUGUGGUCGUGUUUUCUUCUG